This 181-nucleotide unclassified non-coding RNA is filed under the name fungal sp. RNAcentral describes it as "partial internal transcribed spacer region". The stretch from base 1 to 46 matches the Rfam family "Eukaryotic small subunit ribosomal RNA", at positions 1786 to 1831 of the family's 1831-position model. Lineage: Eukaryota; Fungi. The record is from RNAcentral.
AAGUCGUAACAAGGUUUCCGUAGGUGAACCUGCGGAAGGAUCAUCAUUGAACGUGGUGUUUCUACCCUUUGUGCCCUGUUUGUGGCUUUGACGCCAUAUUUUUUAUGAUUUUCAACGCCUGAGCCUGAUCUGCUUAAAAGCUAAUUACACACAACUUUUAACAACGGAUCUCUUGGUUCUC